GGCGACGGCAGAGGUUACGGAUCGUGGACUAUUCGAUUUCUUGGGGAAGAAGAAGGAGGAAACAAAACCAGAGGGGACAAUCGACUCAGAGUUUGAGCAAAAGGUUCAGAUUUCGGAGCCGGCGCCGGAGGUUAAACACGAGGAAGAAGAGAAGAAGCCGAGUCUCUUGGAGAAGCUUCACCGAAGUGACAGCUCUUCUAGCUCCGUAAGUUUAUAUUUAUGUAUAUCUUUUGCGUUAACGUAAGUUAGAAGUUAGAUCGGAUCUGUUGAUGAUUAUUUUCACCAGAUAGAAUGAUUUAUCUAAUUAUACGGAUUCGAAUUUUUGACAGUCAAGCGAGGAAGAAGGUGAAGAUGGUGAGAAGAGGAAGAAGAAGAAGAAGGAUAAGAAGAAGACUACUACUACUACUACUGCUGAAGGAGAGGUGAAAACAGAGGAGGAGAAAAAAGGGUUUAUGGAGAAGCUGAAGGAGAAGCUUCCAGGACACGGAAAGAAGCCUGAAGAUGCCUCAGCCGCCGCCCCCGCCGCACCUGUUGUUGUUCCUCCGGUGGAGGAAGCGCAUCCGGCGGAGAAGAAGGGGAUUUUGGAGAAGAUUAAGGAGAAGCUUCCAGGAUACCAUCCCAAGACCGUAGAGGAGGAGAAGAAGGAAAAGGAAUCUGGUUAAGACGAAGAAAAAGCGGAUGAUCAUUAUUAAUAUGAAUAAUGAUGAUGGGAGAUUUGCUUUGUUUUUGUGAUGAAU
RNAcentral lists this long non-coding RNA (737 nucleotides) under Eutrema salsugineum. Its description in RNAcentral is "long non-coding RNA (ESAL_LNC000029)". The record is from RNAcentral. Lineage: Eukaryota; Viridiplantae; Streptophyta; Magnoliopsida; Brassicales; Brassicaceae.